GACGAACGCUGGCGGCGUGCUUAACACAUGCAAGUCGAACGAAGAGCGAUGGAAGCUUGCUUCUAUCAAUCUUAGUGGCGAACGGGUGAGUGACGCGUAAUCAACCUGCCCUUCAGAGGGGGACAACAGUUGGAAACGACUGCUAAUACCGCAUACGAUCUAAUCUCGGCAUCGAGGAUAGAUGAAAGGUGGCCUCUACAUGUAAGCUAUCACUGAAGGAGGGGAUUGCGUCUGAUUAGCUAGUUGGAGGGGUAACGGCCCACCAAGGCGAUGAUCAGUAGCCGGUCUGAGAGGAUGAACGGCCACAUUGGGACUGAGACACGGCCCAGACUCCUACGGGAGGCAGCAGUGGGGAAUCUUCCGCAAUGGACGAAAGUCUGACGGAGCAACGCCGCGUGAGUGAUGACGGCCUUCGGGUUGUAAAGCUCUGUUAAUCGGGACGAAAGGCCUUCUUGCGAAUAGUGAGAAGGAUUGACGGUACCGGAAUAGAAAGCCACGGCUAACUACGUG
Molecule: ribosomal RNA, 510 nt
Filed under: uncultured bacterium
Lineage: Bacteria
Description: partial 16S ribosomal RNA
Rfam family: Bacterial small subunit ribosomal RNA
Source: RNAcentral